CUCAGUCCUAGGGAAUUUUGUGGGCACUCGAGCUCAGAAACGUCCCAGGCAUGUAAGCAAGCUUUAUUCUUAUUUGCGUCUGGGCUCCAAGGAGAAAAUGGGGGGUUCCAAGUGCCAGCUUACACAACGCUCUCAUGGAGGCACAGAGACGGUCUCUGCAGCUGUGUUUCUGGGAUGAGAAGGCAUUGUGCCCACAUCCACUGCAGAGGAGGAGGAAUGGGCAAAAGGUGAAGUCACUGCAAACACUGAGUACAGGAAGAAAGCUGAGGCUUGUCUUCAUCUUGCAAGAUGUCUGGGCACCUAAUGCUUCGGAAGACGUUGGUUCUCAGAAGGUCAUGCCGGCAUCCAGGGGCAAAAUCUGGGUCUGCUUGACCGAGGACUCCGCAAAUCCCAGAGCAGGCCUGAACCGGGAUUCUCUUGAAGGUUCUGCUAUCCUGAGACCGGGCCAGUCAGCUGCCCUCAAAGGAGCUCCAUCUCCUCUCGGAUUCUGCAAGUCCCAGUGUAAGUGCUGCACUGUGAACCCGGGAGGCAUUCACUAAAUAUUGUGGAAGAUGACGUGAGUGGAGCCAUAUUAAAAUAGAGCCAGAGCAGCCACUUUGGAGGCAUUGCCUUGCACAUCUUGUUUUCCCUAUCUUGCAAACUGGACCAAAAUGCCAACAUUCCAAGAAGUCAGUAAGGAUAAGAAUAUCCUGUCUGUAAGGACUGAUGAAACUAGACUUUUCUGAUGACUGCAUUGCUAACCAAUCAGUGAAGUACAAGUCUAGCGUUUGCCUGAAGAUCGACCUCAGGUCAAUCUAAGAAGUCGAAAUCCAGCCUCACCUUACCCAACACCAACGCACUCUUCUUUAAUACAGCUCACUUCAUCCUCCCCCUUUGCCAUAAAAACCCUAAGCUCUUCUCCUAUAAUCAGGACACUAUUUGGGUUUGUACGUGAAUCUGUGCUCCCCAAAUUGCAAUUCGUUGAUCCCAAAAAAACGCUUUGCCUCUUAAACUGGUUUCUGUUUUUGUGGGUUGACAAUAUCUUCUUGAAUCUGGGGUCAGGACAUCUGGGUUUGAGGCUUGCAAUUAGUGGCUGUGUGACCCAGGUCGUCAGAUCUUUCUCAGUCUCACUUCUCUGUAAAAUUAGGAUGUUGAACUAGAUGAUCUUUAAGGUCCCUUCCAAAUCUCAGAUUCUAUGAUUCAGUGUAGUCUAUUCUUACCCCUGAAAAAAUAAGUCUAAACAUAAGCCUUACUGAUGAUGGGUGUAGUUGGCCACUGGGUUCGAGAUGAACACAAAUUCUUUGAUCCUCUUCCCAGAGAGAGGUGGGGUAUUUCCCCUCCUCAUGAUUCUGGGCUGCACUGUGACUUGCUUUGACCAGUAAUAGACUGCAGCAGAAGUGACACUGUGUCAGUUCUGGGCACAGUAAAUGGGCAUCUGAGGCAGGAUUGGGGUGAGGUAGGGGGAUAGAAGGUGAGGAAGAAAUUGCAAACACCGGGGGACUCCAAAGAAAGGCCUCUAAUAGGGUCUGGCUUUAUGUGUCCUGGAACACUUGCUGUUAGGGGCCUGAACUCUCAUGUAAGAAGUCUGGCCACUUUGCUGGAGAGACUACAUGAGGAGGCCUUGAGUCUGCAUGGAGACAGAGGGGCCCAUGGAGUCCAGCCUCACAGCCACCCCUGCCGAGGUGUCAGGUAUGUGAGUAAAAUUGUUUUGGACCCUCCAGAUCAGCUCCACCACUAGCUGAAUACCACUGAGUGAUCCCAGUGGAGGCCGCCUGGAGCAGGAGAACCACCUGGCUGAGCCCUGCCCUUUUUC
RNAcentral lists this long non-coding RNA (1792 nucleotides) under Equus caballus (horse). RNAcentral describes it as "lncRNA (ENSECAG00000048302.1)". The record is from RNAcentral. Lineage: Eukaryota; Metazoa; Chordata; Mammalia; Perissodactyla; Equidae.